AUGGUGACAGAGUGAGAGAGGGGGUAAAUAGUGACCGAGUGAGGGAGGGAGAGGGUGACUAGUGACAGAGUGAGGAAGGGGGUGACACUCUCACUAGUCACCCCUUCCCUCCCUCACUCUGUCACUAGUCACACCCUCCCUCUCUCUGUCACUAGAGUGAUGGGGUGACUAGUGACAGUUACCACCUCCUUCACUCCUUCACUCUGUCAUUGUGUCACCCCCUUCCUCACUCUGUCACUAGU
RNAcentral lists this small RNA (242 nucleotides) under Pelobates cultripes (western spadefoot toad). The record is from RNAcentral. Lineage: Eukaryota; Metazoa; Chordata; Amphibia; Anura; Pelobatidae.